UCGAGCGAGAACCAGGGCUUCGGCCCUGGGGACAGCGGCGAACGGGUGAGUAACACGUGGGUCAUCUGCCCUCGGCACCGGAAUAGCCCGGGGAAACCCGGAUUAAUGCCGGAUGGCCCGACCGCUCUACGGGGCGGUCGGAAAAGGUAGCUUCGGCCUCCGGCCGAGGAUGAGCCCGCGGCGGAUUAGCUAGUCGGUGGGGUAACGGCCACCGAGGCGACGAUCCGUAGCUGGUCUGAGAGGACGAUCAGCCACACUGGGGCUGAGACACGGCCCAGACUCCUACGGGAGGCAGCAGUGGGGAAUCUUGCGCAAUGGGCGAAAGCCUGACGCAGCGACGCCGCGUGAGGGAAGAAGGCUUUCGGGUUGUAAACCUCUUUCAGGAGGGACGAAGCCACUCGGGUGAAUAGCCCAGAGGGUGACGGUACCUCCAGAAGAAGCCCCGGCUAACUACGUGCCAGCAGCCGCGGUAAUACGUAGGGGGCAAGCGUUG
This 493-nucleotide ribosomal RNA is filed under the name uncultured bacterium. RNAcentral describes it as "bacterial SSU rRNA". It matches the Rfam family "Bacterial small subunit ribosomal RNA", at positions 62 to 543 of the family's 1533-position model. The record is from RNAcentral.